UCGAACUAGUCGCAGCGCGUCUCUGCUCUCGUGGCUCGAAACGAAAGUCAAACGUCGCGGUUCACUUUUUGAAUGUAUGUGCGUUCGAUUGAAAGUGACGUCGUGGAGAGUGCAAGUGUCUUCUGGGAUAUGGAUUGGUGAAUUGAAACUAUAAGUAUGUGCGUGUUGUGCUUUUGAACAGGAAUACUCUUCGUGACUAUAAUUCCUGCUGAAUCCAGAAACAGUAGCAGUCUCUUUUUAAGCGAGCCUUAUUGACACGGAUCUAACAGAAUUCCUUAUAAUCCCGCACUUAACUCGCAAACCGUUUAUUCAGCUCUCGAUCAAUUAAACAUCCAGUGCAAAUAAAGUGUACCCGAACUACAUACACAGGACGUUUGUCCUCUGAACUCCUAAUAGAAAUUGAAUUGGAGAGGACAAACAAACAUCUCAAGUGUUCGUUAAUGUUUUCCGAUGCUCGUUAAUGUGCCUCGUAUCGAUUGCUAGUGUUCGCUGUAAAACUGUUAUGAAUAUUUCCGGAAACUGAUUCCUUGUUUUUGAAGAUAUCACUUCGCGGGUCAUCAUGGAGACAGAGGAACUCAUCAAGCUUGUUGAUGGAAUCUAUAAGAAUAUCCUGGAUAAGUUCAACCCGGGGGCCAGGCAAAUGAUCAACGCUGGCAAAGCCUACCUCAAAGCCUUGCACGGUG
This is a long non-coding RNA of Leptinotarsa decemlineata (Colorado potato beetle), 683 nucleotides long. NCBI's taxonomy places the organism in Eukaryota, Metazoa, Arthropoda, Insecta, Coleoptera, Chrysomelidae. The record is from RefSeq and is a predicted model, not a curated record.